UAAGAUUUUUUGACAGUAGAAUAUGAAUCUCGAAGAAGUCCAGUAGUGAUAUGGUGUGGUUUUGUGCAUGCCGAUAGAGAUGGGUCUGACUGGAAGUGCACGGCAUAUAGUUCUUUUUUCUUCAUGCUCAUUGAUGUCUUGUAGAUUAUCAUUGGUUGAGAUUGAAUUGUGGGGUCUAAGAUAAGAUAAGGCUUCUCCCUAUCUUUCGAUAUACCUUUAUAAUAACUAUUCUUCAGUUUUGAGUAAUUAUCUUCUUCAGAUGUUUUGAAUUACACUUUGUAUACCUCAACAUUUUUCAUUCCGAACAGAUUGGCCAGAGUGAUAUGAGCUUUAGGAUAGAAGUUAUCACAAAGAAGUUUGGUCAGGGCAGUCUUGGAUGAUCCUUGGAUAGUUAUAUGACUAGUUUUGAUAGUAAUUGUGUUUUCGUUUACACGUUGAAAGUAUGUUUUGUAAAGCACUUAAACGUGUUUCGUUGAUUUUAAAUUAUUUGCUUCUAUUAAAUGAUUUCUAUUUUUGAAUAUUGUAUAGUUGUUUGGGAUCCUUUAACUAUGAUAAGUGUCAGCUUGAGCAGUGUCAAGCAGAAAAUCCUCAAGUUUUAUGCAUUAGUAUUGAAAAAUAAAUUGUCACCCACAUGAUUACUCUUUUGUUCU
Non-coding RNA from Cinara cedri, 650 nucleotides. NCBI's taxonomy places the organism in Eukaryota, Metazoa, Arthropoda, Insecta, Hemiptera, Aphididae. The record is from the annotation of a GenBank genome assembly.